This 332-nucleotide long non-coding RNA is filed under the name Homo sapiens (human). Its description in RNAcentral is "HSALNT0347209". Lineage: Eukaryota; Metazoa; Chordata; Mammalia; Primates; Hominidae. The record is from RNAcentral.
CCGCCUUCUGCAUUUCCUGCUCUGCUUCAUCUUCUGACCUUCUUCACAUCCUCUGGUCCAGCUGGUUGGGACUAUAAGCCUUGCCUUGAACAGUUAAGCUUUUUAAAUACCUCCAACCCUUUGGACUUGACCUGUCAGACACCCAAAGGAGAGACAGCCAUCCCCUAUCCCAACUCCAAUCAUCCAACUCCAACAACAAAAUUUGCCUACUGAUGCAUCUUUAUGGUCCUGGAGGAAGACCCAGCCCUGUGGGGCCCAAAAGGCCUGGAAAGGCUGACACAGCUUUGCAAGGAAAUGACUUCAUUCUCACCAGGGGCCUGAGAUGACUGGGA